GGAAUAUUGGACAAUGGCCGAGAGGCUGAUCCAGCCAUGCCGCGUGCGGGAAGACGGCCCUAUGGGUUGUAAACCGCUUUUGUUGGGGAGCAAUAAGGUCCACGUGUGGAUCGAUGAGAGUACCCAGCGAAUAAGCAUCGGCUAACUCCGUGCCAGCAGCCGCGGUAAUACGGAGGAUGCAAGCGUUAUCCGGAUUUAUUGGGUUUAAAGGGUGCGUAGGCGGAUGCCUAAGCGUGAGGUGAAAUCCCCGGGCUCAACCUGGGAACUGCCUCGCGAACUGGGUAUCUGGAAUGCUCCUGCCGUGGGAGGAAUGUGUGGUGUAGCGGUGAAAUGCAUAGAGAUCACACAGAACACCGAUUGCGAAGGCAUCUCACGAAGGGGUGAUUGACGCUGAGGCACGAAAGCGUGGGGAUCAAACA
RNAcentral lists this ribosomal RNA (419 nucleotides) under uncultured bacterium. RNAcentral's name for it is "bacterial SSU rRNA". It matches the Rfam family "Bacterial small subunit ribosomal RNA", at positions 358 to 774 of the family's 1533-position model. The record is from RNAcentral.